This 101-nucleotide small RNA is filed under the name Marmota monax (woodchuck). Lineage: Eukaryota; Metazoa; Chordata; Mammalia; Rodentia; Sciuridae. The record is from RNAcentral.
GCUGGGCGUGGUGGCACAUACCUGUAAUCCCAGCUACUAAGGAGGCUGAGGCAGGAGGAUCACAAGUUCAACCUCAGCAACUUAGUAAGACCCUGUCUUAA